UCUCCGUUGGUGAACCAGCGGAGGGAUCAUUACUGAGUGAGGGUCUCCGGGCCCGACCUCCAACCCCAUGUGAACCGAAACCUGUUGCUUCGGGGGCGACCCUGCCUUUUGGCGCGGCGCCCCCGGAGGCUCAUCAAACACUGCAUCUUUGCGUCGGAGUCUUAAUGAAUUUAAACAAAACUUUUAACAACGGAUCUCUUGGUUCUGGCAUCGAUGAAGAACGUAGC
RNAcentral lists this unclassified non-coding RNA (227 nucleotides) under uncultured fungus. RNAcentral's name for it is "sequence contains ITS1, 5.8S rRNA gene". The stretch from base 179 to 227 matches the Rfam family "5.8S ribosomal RNA", at positions 1 to 49 of the family's 154-position model. Lineage: Eukaryota; Fungi. The record is from RNAcentral.